GGCUUCAUAGCUCAGUUGGUAGAGCAUCGCAUCGGUAUAGCGAAGGUCACGGGUUCGAAUCCCGUUGAAGCCC
This 73-nucleotide transfer RNA is filed under the name Orbicella faveolata. RNAcentral describes it as "tRNA-Thr". It matches the Rfam family "tRNA". From Rfam's summary of the family: Transfer RNA (tRNA) molecules are approximately 80 nucleotides in length. Their secondary structure includes four short double-helical elements and three loops (D, anti-codon, and T loops). Lineage: Eukaryota; Metazoa; Cnidaria; Anthozoa; Scleractinia; Merulinidae. The record is from RNAcentral.